AUUGAACGCUGGCGGUAGGCCUAACACAUGCAAGUCGAACGCGAAAGUCCUUCGGAUGAGUAGAGUGGCGGACGGGUGAGUAACGCGUAGGAAUCUAUCCUGUAGUGGGGGAGUAAUGUUUCGUAAAGGAACGCUAAUACCGCAUACGCCCCAACGGGGGAAAGGCGGGGGAGUCUUCGGACCUCGUGCUAUAGGAGGAGCCUGCGUCGGAUUAGCUAGUUGGUAGGGUAAAGGCCUACCAAGGCCACGAUCGGUAGCUGGUCUGAGAGGAUGAUCAGCCACACUGGGACUGAGACACGGCCCAGACUCCUACGGGAGGCAGCAGUGGGGAAUAUUGGACAAUGGGCGCAAGCCUGAUCCAGCAAUGCCGCGUGUGUGAAGAAGGCCUGCGGGUUGUAAAGCACUUUCAGUGGGAAGAACAGAUUCGGGUCGAAUACCCGGACGCCUCGACGUUACCCACAGAAGAAGACACCGG
This 475-nucleotide ribosomal RNA is filed under the name uncultured bacterium. RNAcentral describes it as "bacterial SSU rRNA". It matches the Rfam family "Bacterial small subunit ribosomal RNA", at positions 29 to 497 of the family's 1533-position model. The record is from RNAcentral.